RNAcentral lists this ribosomal RNA (407 nucleotides) under uncultured bacterium. RNAcentral's name for it is "bacterial SSU rRNA". It matches the Rfam family "Bacterial small subunit ribosomal RNA", at positions 355 to 776 of the family's 1533-position model. The record is from RNAcentral.
UUAGGAAUUUUGCGCAAUGGACGAAAGUCUGACGCAGCAACGCCGCGUGGGGGAUGAAGGCCUUCGGGUUGUAAACCCCUUUUGGCAGGAAAGAACACAAUGACGGUACCUGCAGAAGAAGCACCGGCUAACUCUGUGCCAGCAGCCGCGGUAAUACAGAGGGUGCAAGCGUUAUUCGGAAUUAUUGGGCGUAAAGAGCGCGUAGGCUGCUUUGUAAGUCCGAUGUGAAAGCCCUGGACUCAAUUCAGGAAGUGCAUCGGGUACUGCUAAGCUAGAGUGCAGGAGAGGAGAGCGGAAUUCCUGGUGUAGAGGUGAAAUUCGUAGAUAUCAGGAGGAACAACAGAAGCGAAGGCGGCUCUCUGGACUGCUACUGACGCUGAGGCGCGAAAGCGUGGGGAGCAAACAGG